UCGCCUGCACACGAAGCGUGUGAACGCCGC
Molecule: non-coding RNA, 30 nt
Filed under: Bombyx mori (domestic silkworm)
Lineage: Eukaryota; Metazoa; Arthropoda; Insecta; Lepidoptera; Bombycidae
Source: RNAcentral